RNAcentral lists this ribosomal RNA (301 nucleotides) under uncultured bacterium. RNAcentral describes it as "partial 16S ribosomal RNA". It matches the Rfam family "Bacterial small subunit ribosomal RNA", at positions 509 to 807 of the family's 1533-position model. The record is from RNAcentral.
CAGUAGCCGCGGGAAUACGUAGGGUGCGAGCGUUAAUCGGAAUUACUGGGCGUAAAGCGUGCGCAGGCGGUUAUAUAAGACAGAUGUGAAAUCCCCGGGCUCAACCUGGGACCUGCAUUUGUGACUGUAUAGCUAGAGUACGGUAGAGGGGGAUGGAAUUCCGCGUGUAGCAGUGAAAUGCGUAGAUAUGCGGAGGAACACCGAUGGCGAAGGCAAUCCCCUGGACCUGUACUGACGCUCAUGCACGAAAGCGUGGGGAGCAAACAGGAUUAGAUACCCCAGUAGUCCCUGUCUCUUAUAC